CAUGGGCAGGUUGAAGGUUGGGUAACACUAACUGGAGGACCGAACCGACUAAUGUUGAAAAAUUAGCGGAUGACUUGUGGCUGGGGGUGAAAGGCCAAUCAAACCGGGAGAUAGCUGGUUCUCCCCGAAAGCUAUUUAGGUAGCGCCUCGUGAAUUCAUCUCCGGGGGUAGAGCACUGUUUCGGCAAGGGGGUCAUCCCGACUUACCAACCCGAUGCAAACUGCGAAUACCGGAGAAUGUUAUCACGGGAGACACACGGCGGGUGCUAACGUCCGUCGUGAAGAGGGAAACAACCCAGACCGCCAGCUAAGGUCCCAAAGUCAUGGUUAAGUGGGAAACGAUGUGGGAAGGCCCAGACAGCCAGGAUGUUGGCUUAGAAGCAGCCAUCAUUUAAAGAAAGCGUAAUAGCUCACUGGUCGAGUCGGCCUGCGCGGAAGAUGUAACGGGGCUAAACCAUGCACCGAAGCUGCGGCAGCGACGCUUAUGCGUUGUUGGGUAGGGGAGCGUUCUGUAAGCCUGUGAAGGUGUGCUGUGAGGCAUGCUGGAGGUAUCAGAAGUGCGAAUGCUGACAUAAGUAACGAUAAAGCGGGUGAAAAGCCCGCUCGCCGGAAGACCAAGGGUUCCUGUCCAACGUUAAUCGGGGCAGGGUGAGUCGACCCCUAAGGCGAGGCCGAAAGGCGUAGUCGAUGGGAAACAGGUUAAUAUUCCUGUACUUGGUGUUACUGCGAAGGGGGGACGGAGAAGGCUAUGUUGGCCGGGCGACGGUUGUCCCGGUUUAAGCGUGUAGGCUGGUUUUCCAGGCAAAUCCGGAAAAUCAAGGCUGAGGCGUGAUGACGAGGCACUACGGUGCUGAAGCAACAAAUGCCCUGCUUCCAGGAAAAGCCUCUAAGCAUCAGGUAACAUCAAAUCGUACCCCAAACCGACACAGGUGGUCAGGUAGAGAAUACCAAGGCGCUUGAGAGAACUCGGGUGAAGGAACUAGGCAAAAUGGUGCCGUAACUUCGGGAGAAGGCACGCUGAUAUGUAGGUGAAGUCCCUCGCGGAUGGAGCUGAAAUCAGUCGAAGAUACCAGCUGGCUGCAACUGUUUAUUAAAAACACAGCACUGUGCAAACACGAAAGUGGACGUAUACGGUGUGACGCCUGCCCGGUGCCGGAAGGUUAAUUGAUGGGGUCAGCGCAAGCGAAGCUCUUGAUCGAAGCCCCGGUAAACGGCGGCCGUAACUAUAACGGUCCUAAGGUAGCGAAAUUCCUUGUCGGGUAAGUUCCGACCUGCACGAAUGGCGUAAUGAUGGCCAGGCUGUCUCCACCCGAGACUCAGUGAAAUUGAACUCGCUGUGAAGAUGCAGUGUACCCGCGGCAAGACGGAAAGACCCCGUGAACCUUUACUAUAGCUUGACACUGAACAUUGAGCCUUGAUGUGUAGGAUAGGUGGGAGGCUUAGAAGUGUGGACGCCAGUCUGCAUGGAGCCGACCUUGAAAUACCACCCUUUAAUGUUUGAUGUUCUAACGUUGACCCGUAAUCCGGGUUGCGGACAGUGUCUGGUGGGUAGUUUGACUGGGGCGGUCUCCUCCUAAAGAGUAACGGAGGAGCACGAAGGUUGGCUAAUCCUGGUCGGACAUCAGGAGGUUAGUGCAAUGGCAUAAGCCAGCUUGACUGCGAGCGUGACGGCGCGAGCAGGUGCGAAAGCAGGUCAUAGUGAUCCGGUGGUUCUGAAUGGAAGGGCCAUCGCUCAACGGAUAAAAGGUACUCCGGGGAUAACAGGCUGAUACCGCCCAAGAGUUCAUAUCGACGGCGGUGUUUGGCACCUCGAUGUCGGCUCAUCACAUCCUGGGGCUGAAGUAGGUCCCAAGGGUAUGGCUGUUCGCCAUUUAAAGUGGUACGCGAGCUGGGUUUAGAACGUCGUGAGACAGUUCGGUCCCUAUCUGCCGUGGGCGCUGGAGAACUGAGGGGGGCUGCUCCUAGUACGAGAGGACCGGAGUGGACGCAUCACUGGUGUUCGGGUUGUCAUGCCAAUGGCACUGCCCGGUAGCUAAAUGCGGAAGAGAUAAGUGCUGAAAGCAUCUAAGCACGAAACUUGCC
Molecule: ribosomal RNA, 2081 nt
Filed under: Escherichia coli
Lineage: Bacteria; Pseudomonadati; Pseudomonadota; Gammaproteobacteria; Enterobacterales; Enterobacteriaceae
Description: partial 23S ribosomal RNA
Rfam family: Bacterial large subunit ribosomal RNA
Source: RNAcentral